RNAcentral lists this long non-coding RNA (2075 nucleotides) under Homo sapiens (human). RNAcentral's name for it is "HSALNT0308349". The record is from RNAcentral. Lineage: Eukaryota; Metazoa; Chordata; Mammalia; Primates; Hominidae.
CUGAAAAGUGAAAUUUGAACAGUCACGUUAUACCACAGUAAUUCACAGACCACAGCUGGAGAGCACAGUGGGCAUAACAUUGAUAGAUAAGAAUUUGACCCCUCUCCCUCUCCCUCUCCCCGUCUCCCUCUCCCUCUCCCUCUCCCCGUCUCCCUCUCCCUCUCAUGCCGAGCCAAAGCUGGACGGUACUGCUGCCAUCUCGGCUCACUGCAACCUCCCUGCCUGAUUCUCCUGCCUCAGCCUGCCGAGUGCCUGCGAUUGCAGGCGCGCGCCGCCACGCCUGACUGGUUUUCGUUUUUUUUUUGGUGGAGAUGGGGUUUCGCUGUGUUGGCCGGGCUGGUCUCCAGCUCCUAACCGCGAGUGAUCCGCCAGCCUCGGCCUCCCGAGGUGCCGGGAUUGCAGAUGGAGUCUCGUUCACUCAGUGCUCAAUGGUGCCCAGGCUGGAGUGCAGUGGCGUGAUCUCGGCUUGCUACAACCACCUCCCAGCCGCCUGCCUUGGCCUCCCAAAGAGCCGAGAUUGCAGCCUCUGCCCGGCCGCCACGCCGUCUGGGAAGUGAGGAGCGUCUCUGCUUGGCCACCCAUCGUCUGGGAUAUGAGGAGCCCCUCUGCCUGGCUGCCCAGUGUGGAAAGUGAGGAGCGUCUCUGCCCGGCCGCCAUCCCAUCUAGGAAGCGAGAAGCGCCUCUUCCCCGCCGCCAUCCCAUCUAGGAAGUGAGGAGCGUCUCUGCCCGGCCGCCCAUCGUCUGAGAUGUGGGGAGCACCUCUGCCCCACCGCCCUGUCUGGGAUGUGAGGAGCGCCUCUGCUGGGCCGCAACCCUGUCUGGGAGGUGAGGAGUGUCUCUGCCCGGCCGCUCCGUCUGAGAAGUGAGGAAACCCUCUGCCUGGCAACCGCCCCGUCUGAGAAGUGAGGAGCCCCUCCGUCUGGCAACCACCCCGUCUGGGAAGUGAGGAGCGUCUCCGCCCGGCAGCCACCCCGUCCGGGAGGGAGGUGGGGGGGGUCAGCCCCCCGCCCGGCCAGCCGCCCCGUCCGGGAGGUGAGGGGCUCCUCUGCCCGGCCGCCCCUACUGGGAAGUGAGGAGCCCCUCUGCCCGGCCAGCCGCCCCGUCCGGGAGGGAGGCGGGGGGGGGUGGUCGGCCAUCCGCCCCGUCCGGGAGGUGAGGGGCGCCUCUGCCCGGCCGCCCCUACUGGGAAGUGAGGAGCCCCUCUGCCCGGCCAGUCGCCCCGUCCAGGAGGGAGGUGGGGGUUCAACCCCCCGCCCGGCCAGCCGCCCAGUCCGGGAGGGAGGUGGGGGGUCAGCCCCCCGCCUGGCCAGCCGCCCCGUCCAGGAGGUGAGGGGCGCCUCUGCCCGGCCGCCCCUACUGGGAAGUGAGGAGCCCCUCUGCCCGGCCAGCCGCCCCGCCCAGGAGGGAGGUGGGGGGGUCAGCCCCCCGCCCGGCCAGCCGCCCCGUCCGGGAGGGGGGAGGGGGGGUCAGCCCCCUGCCCGGCCAGCCGCCCCGUCCGGGAGGGAGGUGGGGGGGGUCAGCCCCCCGCCCGGCCAGCCGCCCCGUCCGGGAGGGAGGUGGGGGGAUCAGCCCCCUGCCUGGCCAGCCGCCCCGUCCGGGAGGUGAGGGGCGCCUCUGCCCGGCCGCCCCUACUGGGAAGUGAGGAGCCCCUCUGCCCGGCCAGCCGCCCCGUCCGGGAGGGAGGUGGGGGGGUCAGCCCCCCUUCCGGCCGGCUGCCCCGUCCGGGAGGUGAGGGGCGCCUCUGCCGGGCCGCCCCUACUGGGAAGUGAGGACCCCUCUGCCCGGCCAGCCGCCCCAUCCGGGAGGGAGGUGGGGGGAACAGCCCCCCGCCCGGCCAGCCGCCCUAUCCAGGAGGUGAGGGGCGCCUCUGCCCGGCCGCCCCUACUGGGAAGUGAGGAGCCCCUCUGCCUGGCCAGCCGCCCCGUCCGGGAGGGCGGUGGGGGGGUCAGCCCCCCGCCCGGCCAGCCGCCCCAUCUGGGAGGUGAGGGGCGCUUCUGCCGGGCCGCCCCUACUGGGAAGUGAGGAGCCCCUCUGCCCGGCCACGACCCCGUCUGGGAGGUGUGCCCAGCGGCUCA